GAUGUGCAGGGCAGUAGACAAUGGUGCGGGCGAAGUGGCUAAACUUGAACAAGCGGUCGAAACAUUCUGUCAGAGUCAAACCCCAUUCCUUCAAGGCCAAUGUGUAAGUGAGCCGCACUUCGUCCGAGCACAGGAAGGACUGAAUCACUCCCCCACAGGGGCUGCCAAGUAGGGUCACCACCAGCCACAAGGAGACAAAAAGAGGCAAAACAGUGCAACGAGCCAUAGACACUGAAGGCGUUUAUUACAUACAAGUUGAUAUGCUUCUGCUUUCAGAUAUAUAUAUAUU
This is a long non-coding RNA of Symsagittifera roscoffensis, 289 nucleotides long. RefSeq lists it as uncharacterized. The transcript has 2 exons. NCBI's taxonomy places the organism in Eukaryota, Metazoa, Xenacoelomorpha, Acoela, Convolutidae. The record is from RefSeq and is a predicted model, not a curated record.